UGCCAGCAGCCGCGGUAAUACGAAGGGUGCUAGCGUUGUUCGGAAUUACUGGGCGUAAAGUGACCGUAGCCGGUUAAAUAAGUCUUUUGUGAAAGUUCUGUAGCUUAACUCAGAAUUUGCAAAAGAUACUGUUUAACUUGAGGCCGGGAGGGGUGUGAGGUAUUGAUUGGGUAGCGGUAAAAUGUUAUAAUCCUUUCAAGACCAACUAAGGCGAAGGCAUCACACUUGAACGGACCUGACGGUGAGGGUCGAGAGCUAGGGGAGCGAACCGGAUUAGAUA
Molecule: ribosomal RNA, 280 nt
Filed under: uncultured bacterium
Lineage: Bacteria
Description: partial 16S ribosomal RNA
Rfam family: Bacterial small subunit ribosomal RNA
Source: RNAcentral